UACGUAGGGUGCAAGCGUUAAUCGGAAUUACUGGGCGUAAAGCGUGCGCAGGCGGUUAUGUAAGACAGAUGUGAAAUCCCCGGGCUCAACCUGGGAACUGCAUUUGUGACUGCAUAGCUAGAGUACGGUAGAGGGGGGUGGAAUUCCGCGUGUAGCAGUGAAAUGCGUAGAUAUGCGGAGGAACACCGAUGGCGAAGGCAAUCCCCUGGACCUGUACUGACGCUCAUGCACGAAAGCGUGGGGAGCAAACAGG
This 253-nucleotide ribosomal RNA is filed under the name uncultured bacterium. RNAcentral's name for it is "partial 16S ribosomal RNA". It matches the Rfam family "Bacterial small subunit ribosomal RNA", at positions 524 to 776 of the family's 1533-position model. The record is from RNAcentral.